GAUGAAGGAACGCAGCGAAAUGCGAUAAGUAGUGUGAAUUGCAGAAUUCAGUGAAUCAUCGAAUCUUUGAACGCACAUUGCGCCUCCUGGUAUUCCGGGAGGCAUGCCUGUUCGAGCGUCAUCAAAAACCUCAACCCAUGAUUUAUUGUGAGUUGGUUCUGCAUUGGACUCCUUGUGGGUCCUUUGCGAAAUUCAAUGGCGAAGAGCCACGCAACCAAAGCGUAGUAUAACUAUUUCGUUAUGGAAGCGUGGGUGCCUCUGCCGUAACCCCCAAUUUCUUAGUUUUUGACCUCGGAUCAGGUAGGGAUACCCGCUGAACUUAAGCAUAUCAAUAAGCGGAGGA
RNAcentral lists this unclassified non-coding RNA (343 nucleotides) under soil metagenome. Its description in RNAcentral is "partial contains 5.8S ribosomal RNA, internal transcribed spacer 2, and large subunit ribosomal RNA". The stretch from base 1 to 121 matches the Rfam family "5.8S ribosomal RNA", at positions 35 to 154 of the family's 154-position model. The record is from RNAcentral.